UACGAAGGGGGCUAGCGUUGCUCGGAAUGACUGGGCGUAAAGGGCGCGUAGGCGGAUGGCACAGUCAGAUGUGAAAUUCCUGGGCUUAACCUGGGGGCUGCAUUUGAUACGUGUUGUCUUGAGUGAGGAAGAGGGUCGUGGAAUUCCCAGUGUAGAGGUGAAAUUCGUAGAUAUUGGGAAGAACACCGGUGGCGAAGGCGGCGACCUGGUCCUUAACUGACGCUGAGGCGCGAAAGCGUGGGGGAGCGAACAGG
RNAcentral lists this ribosomal RNA (254 nucleotides) under uncultured bacterium. RNAcentral's name for it is "partial 16S ribosomal RNA". It matches the Rfam family "Bacterial small subunit ribosomal RNA", at positions 524 to 776 of the family's 1533-position model. The record is from RNAcentral.